Molecule: ribosomal RNA, 464 nt
Filed under: uncultured bacterium
Lineage: Bacteria
Description: partial 16S ribosomal RNA
Rfam family: Bacterial small subunit ribosomal RNA
Source: RNAcentral
GACGAACGCUGGCGGCGUGCUUAACACAUGCAAGUCGAACGGAAAGGCCCAGCUUGCUGGGUGCUCGAGUGGCGAACGGGUGAGUAACACGUGGGUGAUCUGCCCCUAACUUCGGGAUAAGCUUGGGAAACUGGGUCUAAUACCGGAUAGGACAAUCGUUUAGUGUCGGUUGUGGAAAGUUUUUUCGGUUAGGGAUGAGCCCGCGGCCUAUCAGCUUGUUGGUGGGGUAAUGGCCUACCAAGGCGUCGACGGGUAGCCGGCCUGAGAGGGUGGACGGCCACAUUGGGACUGAGAUACGGCCCAGACUCCUACGGGAGGCAGCAGUGGGGAAUAUUGCACAAUGGGCGCAAGCCUGAUGCAGCGACGCCGCGUGGGGGAUGACGGCCUUCGGGUUGUAAACCUCUUUCGACAGGGACGAAGCUUUGGUGGCGGUACCUGUAUAAGAAGCACCGGCUAACUACGUG